This 404-nucleotide ribosomal RNA is filed under the name uncultured bacterium. RNAcentral's name for it is "bacterial SSU rRNA". It matches the Rfam family "Bacterial small subunit ribosomal RNA", at positions 355 to 774 of the family's 1533-position model. The record is from RNAcentral.
GGAUGAGUCUUGCACAAUGGGGGCGAACCCUCGAUGCAGCGACGCCGCGUGAGCGAUGAAGCCCUUCGGGGUGUAAAGCUCUUUCGGCAGGGAAGAUAGUGACGGUACCUGCAGAAGCAGCUGCGGCUAACUACGUGCCAGCAGCCGCGGUAAUACGUAGGCAGCAAGCGUUGUUCGGAGUUACUGGGCGUAAAGGGUGUGUAGGCGGUUCCGUAAGUCUGGUGUGAAAUCUCCCGGCUCAACUGGGAGGGUGCGCCGGAAACUGCGGGGCUAGAGUGUGGGAUGGGAGAGUGGAAUUCCUGGUGUAGCGGUGAAAUGCGUAGAUAUCAGGAGGAACACCUGCGGUGUAGACGGCUCUCUGGACCAUUACUGACGCUGAAACACGAAAGCGUGGGUAGCAAACA